CUUGGUCAUUUAGAGGAAGUAAAAGUCGUAACAAGGUUUCCGUAGGUGAACCUGCGGAAGGAUCAUUAAUGAAUCACAAGUCGACCGUUCUGUGCUGGUGGCAACACAUGUGCACGUCGGUCGCAAAUCCACACACCUGUGCACCUUUGACUUUGAGAUCCGCCGGUCUUUUGACUUGCAGCAGGUCGGCUUUGUGCCGUCCUGGGUCUCAGAGUACUUUUACACACUCUGAAUGUAAUGGAAUGUCUCUGUGCUUAACGCGCAUAUAAACAACUUUCAACAACGGAUCUCUUGGCUCUCGCAUCGAUGAAGAACGCAGCGAAAUGCGAUAAGUAUUGUGAAUUGCAGAAUUCAGUGAAUCAUCGAAUCUUUGAACGCACCUUGCACCCCUUGGUAUUCCGAGGGGUACACCCGUUUGAGUGUCAUUGUAAUCUCACUCCGACAGCUUUGUUGAUGUCUGGAGGUGGACCUGGACCCUGCCGUGUCACAACGGCUGGUCUGAAAUGCGUGAGUGCACCCUGCUGUAGCAGCGUCUUCAGUGUGAUAAGUAUCUUCACUGAUUCAAGCUCCUUUGGGACAUGCUCGUCUGGUGGGCUCUGCGCUUCCAACCGUCUCUUGUAGACAAACCUUGACAAUUUGACCUCAAAUCGGGUGGGAUUACCCGCUGAACUUAAGCAUAUCAAUAAGCGGAGGAAAUCG
Molecule: ribosomal RNA, 699 nt
Filed under: uncultured Sebacinales
Lineage: Eukaryota; Fungi; Basidiomycota; Agaricomycetes; Sebacinales
Description: eukaryotic LSU rRNA
Rfam family: 5.8S ribosomal RNA (bases 272-425)
Source: RNAcentral